RNAcentral lists this ribosomal RNA (301 nucleotides) under uncultured bacterium. Its description in RNAcentral is "partial 16S ribosomal RNA". It matches the Rfam family "Bacterial small subunit ribosomal RNA", at positions 509 to 807 of the family's 1533-position model. The record is from RNAcentral.
CAGUCGCCACGGGAAUACGGAGGGUGCAAGCGUUAAUCGGAAUUACUGGGCGUAAAGCGUGCGUAGGUGGUGGUUUAAGUCCGUUGUGAAAGCCCUGGGCUCAACCUGGGAAUUGCAGUGGAUACUGGGUCACUAGAGUGUGGUAGAGGAUAGUGGAAUUUCCGGUGUAGCAGUGAAAUGCGUAGAGAUCGGAAGGAACAUCUGUGGCGAAGGCGACUAUCUGGGCCAACACUGACACUGAGGCACGAAAGCGUGGGGAGCAAACAGGAUUAGAUACCCCAGUAGUCCCUGUCUCUUAUAC